UCUAAGGUGAGCCUACGUCGGAUUAGCUAGUUGGUAGGGUAAAAGACCUACCAAGGCGAUGAUCUGUAGCUGGUCUGAGAGGACGGACAGCCACACUGGGACUGAGACACGGCCCAGACACCUACGGGAGGCAGCAGUGGGGAAGUAUUGGACGAAUGGGGGGAACCCGUCGAUCCAGCGAUGCCGCGUGUGUGAAGAAGGCCUGCGGGUUGUAAAGCACUUUCAGUGGGAAAGAGAAGCGUCUUGUGAAUAAUGGGACGUGGAGACGUUACUCACAGAAGAAGCACCGGCUAACUCUGUG
This 301-nucleotide ribosomal RNA is filed under the name uncultured bacterium. RNAcentral's name for it is "bacterial SSU rRNA". It matches the Rfam family "Bacterial small subunit ribosomal RNA", at positions 219 to 507 of the family's 1533-position model. The record is from RNAcentral.